AACGCGAAGAACCUUACCUGGGCUCGAAAUGUAGAGGACGAUAUCAGAGAUGAUAUUUCCCGAAAGGGCUUUUAUAUAGGUGCUGCAUGGCUGUCGUCAGCUCGUGCCGUGAGGUGUUUGGUUAAGUCCAGCAACGAGCGCAACCCUUAUCGUUAGUUGCCAGCGCGUAAUGGCGGGAACUCUAACGAGACUGCCUGGGUUAACCAGGAGGAAGGUGAGGAUGAUGUCAAGUCCGCAUGGCCUUUAUGUCCAGGGCUACACACGUGCUACAAUGGUCGGUACAGAAGGCGGCAAAGUCGCAAGACGAAGCAAAUCCUUUAAAACCGAUCUCAGUUCAGAUUGUAGUCUGCAACUCGGCUACAUGAAGUUGGAAUUGCUAGUAAUGGCGUGUCAGCAACAACGCCGUGAAUACGUUCCCGGGCCUUGUACACACCGUGUCGA
Molecule: ribosomal RNA, 441 nt
Filed under: uncultured bacterium
Lineage: Bacteria
Description: bacterial SSU rRNA
Rfam family: Bacterial small subunit ribosomal RNA
Source: RNAcentral